RNAcentral lists this ribosomal RNA (95 nucleotides) under Acanthosepion pharaonis. Lineage: Eukaryota; Metazoa; Mollusca; Cephalopoda; Sepiida; Sepiidae. The record is from RNAcentral.
GAAACACUGGUUUUCUUACGAUCACUGACGUUAAGAAACGUCGAGCCUGGUCAGUACCUAGAUGGGUGACCGCUUGGGAAUACUAAUUGCUGCAA